GGAGAAGCUGUGAUGUGAUUCAAGUAUCUUCCGUCAACCAGAAUCAGCAUCAGAUGCAAAGAGCAGCAGGGCUGUUGGAGAAGGAGAGCAGGGAUCACCCUGCACGGGCAGGACUACACUUCGCCUCGGGGAGCUGUCUAGCUUCCUCAGAUAACUUCUUCAGCCUUCCAAUGAGGACAGAACACCAGUGGCUCCAGAAAUCUUCCAGGCCUUCAGCACCAGAUUUGGACUGCUGAGGCACCAAGCUUCGUGGGCUGAGCAGCUACCAGGUUCUCAGCCUCUCCAGCAUGGCCAUUGCUGAGCUGCCCAGCGUCUCCUGUGUACACCAUCCCAGUAAAUCCAUUAUGCAUAGCUAUGCAGUCUGUUCCCCAGAGAACACAGAUGGAAUGUGGAUGGCCAAGAGACAAAGCUGUUUUGUACUCUCUUAGUCCCUUUGGAUAUAGUGACUGUCCACCUCAGUAUCUACCCCAAUACCCUCAUGUCUUUUCAAAUGUCACCUAAGCCUGACCCACAAGUCUCUACAUGCUCUAAAGUUGAGGAUGCUAUAAAGCUUCCCUGAUGA
Mesocricetus auratus (golden hamster) is the source of this 562-nucleotide long non-coding RNA. RefSeq lists it as uncharacterized. The record is from RefSeq and is a predicted model, not a curated record. The transcript is spliced from 2 exons. NCBI's taxonomy places the organism in Eukaryota, Metazoa, Chordata, Mammalia, Rodentia, Cricetidae.